GCUGUUUAAGGCCUGAUCUAGGUUGUUUGAUGCUGAUCCGACAACCAAAACUAAGGGACGCAUAUGGGAUGUGGAAUAGAGAGCUUUGACACACCCAGGACACUUGUUACGUGAUGUAAUCAGUAGAUAAUUAAGAGAUUUGAUACUAAGAGACCAGGAAAGCUAUAAAAAGGGAUCCAAGCAUAUAAGAAAAAUCAUCCA
This 201-nucleotide long non-coding RNA is filed under the name Elaeis guineensis (African oil palm). RNAcentral's name for it is "long non-coding RNA (EGUI_LNC066029)". The record is from RNAcentral. Lineage: Eukaryota; Viridiplantae; Streptophyta; Magnoliopsida; Arecales; Arecaceae.